This 204-nucleotide ribosomal RNA is filed under the name uncultured bacterium. RNAcentral's name for it is "partial 16S ribosomal RNA". It matches the Rfam family "Bacterial small subunit ribosomal RNA", at positions 568 to 773 of the family's 1533-position model. The record is from RNAcentral.
UGCGUAGGCGGCCUUCCAGGUCCGGUGUGAAAUCUCACGGCUCAACCGUGAAAUGGCGCUGGAAACCGGAAGGCUUGAGUGUGCUAGGGGUGUGUGGAACUUCCAGUGGAGCGGUGAAAUGUGUUGAUAUUGGAAGGAACGCCGGUGGCGAAAGCGACACACUGGGGCACAACUGACGCUGAGGCACGAAAGCUGGUAGCAACG